Molecule: non-coding RNA, 357 nt
Organism: Prunus mume (Japanese apricot)
Lineage: Eukaryota; Viridiplantae; Streptophyta; Magnoliopsida; Rosales; Rosaceae
Source: RefSeq, a predicted model, not a curated record
AGCGCCCGCCUAGCCGCCUAGCCGCCCGCCUAGGCCGAUUUUUCGAAAACAGAGAUUGACUGAAAGUCUGAAACCCGAAAUUGAAAAAGUUUAGCUGCAAAUUUGAGCUUGAGAUUGAGAUUGGGAAGCCGAAGCAAGCACAAGUCAGUGGAAGGAAAUGAUGAAGCUAUCCUAUCAUGGAGUUUCUACGGUCUUGCCAAUAACAAGGAGCAGUUGUUCAUGCACAUCAUCUCACGUUCCUUGAGGUUCAUACUUGUGUUAUACCAGGAUUGUUCUGUACUUGGCAAUUUCACCCCAGAGUACUUCUUAAAGAUGUCUCCACUGCAAUUCAGUUGGCUCUUUCUCACACAGCUAUAU